RNAcentral lists this ribosomal RNA (300 nucleotides) under Triticum aestivum (bread wheat). RNAcentral's name for it is "partial small subunit ribosomal RNA". Lineage: Eukaryota; Viridiplantae; Streptophyta; Magnoliopsida; Poales; Poaceae. The record is from RNAcentral.
AUGACGAUCAUUGACCGCUCCAACUUUCUGAAGCUAGAGAAGCAAGAGGACAGAGGGGCAAAGGAGGGUUUGGGCACCCAAUCAGCUGAAGGCGCAUCAAUCUGGCUUGCCCCUGAUACACUAGUUUGUGUUCAUUUUCUGUUUCUGAUUGAGCAUCUCAACAGCUCCAUAGCAGGCCCCUUAGCAGAAGGUUUCUGUCAAGUAAUUCAAGUGUGGAGUUCAUUGUUUUGUACUUUUAAGCUGCCACAUCUUGUUGGUUGGAUUUGUAAAAUUGUACAAAACCUGUUAAGAUCAUUAUAA